Molecule: ribosomal RNA, 568 nt
Filed under: Holtermanniella festucosa
Lineage: Eukaryota; Fungi; Basidiomycota; Tremellomycetes; Holtermanniales
Description: eukaryotic LSU rRNA
Rfam family: Eukaryotic large subunit ribosomal RNA
Source: RNAcentral
GGAUGAGCUCAAAUUUGUAAUCUGGUGGACUCAGUUCAUCCGAGUUGUAAUCUAUAGAAAAGUUUUCCGCGCCGGACCGUGUCUAAGUCCCUUGGAACAGGGUGUCAGAGAGGGUGAGAAUCCCGUGCUUGAUACGACCACCGGUGCUAUGUGAUACUUUUUCAACGAGUCGAGUUGUUUGGGAAUGCAGCUCAAAAUGGGUGGUAAAUUCCAUCUAAAGCUAAAUAUUGGCGAGAGACCGAUAGCGAACAAGUACCGUGAGGGAAAGAUGAAAAGCACUUUGGAAAGAGAGUUAAACAGUACGUGAAAUUGUUAAAAGGGAAACGAUUGAAGUCAGUCGUGCUCUCUGGGACUCAGCCGGUUCUUCCGGUGUAUUUCCCAGUGAGCGGGUCAACAUCAGUUUAGAUCGCUGGAUAAGGUCAUUAGGAAUGUGGCUCCCUCGGGAGUGUUAUAGCCUAGUGUCGCAUACAGUGGUUUAGACUGAGGAACGCAGCUCGCCUUUAUGGCCGGGGUUCGCCCACGUCCGAGCUUAGGAUGUUGACAUAAUGGCUUUAAACGACCCGUCUUG